GAAUGUUCCGUUGCUUGUGUGGCAUACCCCGAUGAGGGUACGAGUCCGUGCCGUUGAUGUCCCACUCGGCUUUUGCCCUGCUUCCUGGCUGGGCUCGCCGCUUCUGCUUGCGGCGCGGCGCACGGCCGAGGCACCCGGCGAAGAUUUUGCGGGUGACCCGCGGCUGUCGUGCCCGCGCAAACUCGGUCCCUCUCGGGUGCGGUUGAUCUUGUGGUCACUGGGGCCUGCUCGCAUGGUCCCUCUGUCCCGGACCCAACGUGGUCGCCGAUCGGUUCGGAUGUCCUCGGCGCGGCGUGGUGCUUCGGCCCCUCGUCGCUGCCGACACCGGUGCUGUGCUACCUGGUUGAUCCUGCCAGUAGUCAUAUGCUUGUCUCAAAGAUUAAGCCA
Molecule: unclassified non-coding RNA, 387 nt
Filed under: Paepalanthus serrinhensis
Lineage: Eukaryota; Viridiplantae; Streptophyta; Magnoliopsida; Poales; Eriocaulaceae
Description: partial contains external transcribed spacer and small subunit ribosomal RNA
Rfam family: Eukaryotic small subunit ribosomal RNA (bases 337-387)
Source: RNAcentral